GGAGCCCCAGCCCUGGGAUUCCCAGCUGUCUCUACCUGCUGAUCAGCACUGAACACAGAGGACUCACCAUGGAGUCUGGGCUGAGCUGGGUUUUCCUUGUUGCUAUUUUAAAAGGUGUCCAGUGUGAGGUGCAGCUGGUGGAGUCUGGGGGAGGCUUGGCAAAGCCUGGGGGGUCCCUGAGACUCUCCUGUGCGGCCUCUGGAUUCACCUUCAGUAGCUACUACAUGGAGCUGGGUCCGCCAGGCUCCGGGGAAGGGGCUGGAGUGGGUUGGAGAAAUUAAUCCUAAUGGUGGUAGCACAGGCUACGCAGACUCCGUGAAGGGCCGAUUCACCAUCUCCAGAGACAACGCCAAGAACUCGCUGUAUCUGCAGAUGAGCAGCCUGAGAGCCGAGGACACGGCCGUGUAUUACUGUGCGAGAGACACAGUGAGGGGAGGCCCCUGUGGGCCCGGACACAAACCUCCUGCAGGGGCGCGCGGGGCCGCCAGGGGGCGCUCGGGACCCACCGAGGACGGGGCGGGCCCCAGGAGCAGGUGCAGGGGGAGGGUCCUUUCUCCACAGCUGGAGAAGUCAGAAGUCUGGAGUCUUGCAGACCAGGAGAUACCCAGGCAGAGGGGUCGCCAGCGUCGCAGUCCAAGCUGGUGCGGCUGUUUUGGCCCCCGCAGGGCUGAUUCCGCCCGCGCGGCUGCUGUGA
Molecule: non-coding RNA, 694 nt
Organism: Saimiri boliviensis boliviensis (Bolivian squirrel monkey)
Lineage: Eukaryota; Metazoa; Chordata; Mammalia; Primates; Cebidae
Source: RefSeq, a predicted model, not a curated record